This 480-nucleotide ribosomal RNA is filed under the name uncultured Acidobacteriota bacterium. RNAcentral's name for it is "bacterial SSU rRNA". It matches the Rfam family "Bacterial small subunit ribosomal RNA", at positions 13 to 525 of the family's 1533-position model. The record is from RNAcentral. Lineage: Bacteria; Pseudomonadati; Acidobacteriota.
UUGAUCCUGGCUCAGAAUCAACGCUGGCGGCGUGCCUAACACAUGCAAGUCGAACGAGAAAGUGGAGCAAUCCAUGAGUAAAGUGGCGACCGGGUGAGUUACACGUGACUAACCUACCUUCGAGUGGGGGAUAACCUCGGGAAACCGGGUCUAAUACCGCAUAAUGCCUUCGGGUUAAAGGAGCAAUUCGCUUGAAGAGUGGGUCGCGGCUGAUUAGUUAGUUGGCGGGGUAACGGCCCACCAAGACGAUGAUCGGUAGCCGGCCUGAGAGGGCGCACGGCCACACUGGAACUGAAACAUGGUCCAGACUCCUACGGGAGGCAGCAGUGGGGAAUUUUGCGCAAUGGGGUAAACCCUGACGCAGCAACGCCGCGUGGAGGAUGAAGUCCCUUGGGACGUUAACUCCUUUCGACCGGGACGAUAAUGACGGUACCGGUGGAAGAAGCCCCUGCUAACUUCGUGCCAGCAGCCGCGGUAAUU